Molecule: long non-coding RNA, 205 nt
Filed under: Hordeum vulgare
Lineage: Eukaryota; Viridiplantae; Streptophyta; Magnoliopsida; Poales; Poaceae
Description: long non-coding RNA (HVUL_LNC007040)
Source: RNAcentral
CUUGUGGAGGUUUAGCAAUAAAAAGGGGAUAUAUGCGUUCUCUCAAGCAGUUAAGAACAAGACCAUACUCGAAGUCGAGCUCUUUUGCAUCUGAACAUGUAUUCAAAUAGCAGCUCAAAAGGAGUGUAAGAGGAUUUGGAUUGUUUCGGAUUCCCUAACGGUAGACGUAUCAUAUAAGUUACUAUACUAAAGCGAACAACUUUUC